GACGUAGGGCGCGAGCGUUGUCCGGAUUUAUUGGGCGUAAAGAGCUCGUAGGCGGCUUGUCGCGUCGACUGUGAAAACCCGCGGCUCAACCGCGGGCCUGCAGCCGAUACGGGCAGGCUAGAGUUCGGUAGGGGAGACUGGAAUUCCAGGUGUAGCGGUGAAAUGCGUAGAUAUCUGGAGGAACACCGGUGGCGAAGGCGGCAUCCUGGACCGGCAUUGACGCUGAGGCGCGAAAGCCAGGGGAGCAAACGGG
RNAcentral lists this ribosomal RNA (253 nucleotides) under uncultured bacterium. RNAcentral's name for it is "partial 16S ribosomal RNA". It matches the Rfam family "Bacterial small subunit ribosomal RNA", at positions 524 to 776 of the family's 1533-position model. The record is from RNAcentral.